This 255-nucleotide ribosomal RNA is filed under the name uncultured soil bacterium. Its description in RNAcentral is "partial 16S ribosomal RNA". It matches the Rfam family "Bacterial small subunit ribosomal RNA", at positions 26 to 285 of the family's 1533-position model. The record is from RNAcentral.
AGGACGAACGCUGGCGGCGUGCUUAACACAUGCAAGUCGAGCGGUAAGGCCUUUCGGGGUACACGAGCGGCGAACGGGUGAGUAACACGUGGGUGAUCUGCCCUGCACUCUGGGAUAAGCCUGGGAAACUGGGUCUAAUACCGGAUAUGACCUGCUCUCGCAGUGGGGGUGGGUGGAAAGAUUUAUCGGUGCAGGAUGGGCCCGCGGCCUAUCAGCUUGUUGGUGGGUAAUGGCCUACGAAGGCGACGACGGGUA